This 162-nucleotide unclassified non-coding RNA is filed under the name uncultured Helotiales. RNAcentral's name for it is "sequence contains ITS1". Lineage: Eukaryota; Fungi; Ascomycota; Leotiomycetes; Helotiales. The record is from RNAcentral.
AAGAGAAAACUGCCCUCUGGGUAGAUCUCCCACCCUUUGUUUACAUUACCUUUGUUGCUUUGGCAGGCCCGUCUUCUGACCACCGGCUUUUUAGCUGGUCCGUGCCUGCCAAAAGACCCAAAACUCUUGAUUUGAUGUUGUCCGAGUCUUAUAUAAUAGUAA